AUCCCCUAGUAACUGCGAGUGAAGCGGGAAAAGCUCAAAUUUAAAAUNNNGGUCUUCUGGCCGUCCGAGUUGUAGUCUGGAGAAGCGUUUUCCGNGUUGGCCCGUGUACAAGUUUCCUGGANCGGAGCGUCAUAGAGGGUGAGAAUCCCGUCUUUGACACGGACCCCAAUGCUUUGUGAUGCGCUCUCAAAGAGUCGAGUUGUUUGGGAAUGCAGCUCAAAAUGGGUGGUGAAUUCCAUCUAAAGCUAAAUAUUGGCGAGAGACCGAUAGCGAACAAGUACCGUGAGGGAAAGAUGAAAAGCACUUUGGAAAGAGAGUUAAACAGUACGUGAAAUUGUUGAAAGGGAAACGCUUGAAGUCAGUCGCGUCNUCCGGGACUCANCCUUGCAUCCGCUUGGUGUACUUUCCGGUCGACGGGCCAGCAUCAGUUUUGACCGCGAGAUAAAGGCGGAGGGAAUGUGGCUCUUUCGGGAGUGUUAUANCCCUUCGUCAGAUGUCNCGGUUGGGACUGAGGAACUCAGCACNCCUUUAUGGCCGGGGUUCGCCCACGUACGUGCUUAGGAUGCUGGNGUAAUGGCUUUAAACGACCCGUCUUGAAACACGGACCANGGAGUCUAACAUGCCUGCGAGUGUUCGGGUGGAAAACCCGUGCGCGCAAUGAAAGUGAAAGNNGGGAUCCCUGUCGNGGGGNGCACNGACGCCCGGNCCAGACCUUUUGUGACGGCNCUGCGGUAGAGCAUGUAUGUUGGGACCCGAAAGAUGGUGAACUAUGCCUGAAUAGGGNGAAGCCAGAGGAAACUCUGGUGGAGGCUCGUAGCGAUUCUGACGUGCAAAUCGAUCGUCAAAUUGGGUAUAGGGGCAAACGACUAAUCGAACCAUCU
This 881-nucleotide ribosomal RNA is filed under the name Naematelia encephala. Its description in RNAcentral is "partial 28S ribosomal RNA". It matches the Rfam family "Eukaryotic large subunit ribosomal RNA", at positions 73 to 945 of the family's 3401-position model. Lineage: Eukaryota; Fungi; Basidiomycota; Tremellomycetes; Tremellales; Naemateliaceae. The record is from RNAcentral.